GCAAGUCGAACGUGAAAGCGGACUUCGGUCCGUAAGUAAAGUGGCGCACGGGUGAGUAACACGUGGAUAAUCUACCCGACAAUCAGGGAUAACAUUUCGAAAGAGAUGCUAAUACCGGAUAAGCCCACGAUGUCUUCGGACGAUGUGGGAAAAGGUGGGGACCUUCGGGCCUGCCGUUGUCGGAUGAGUCCGCGGCCCAUUAGCUAGUUGGUAGGGUAAUGGCCUACCAAGGCAACGAUGGUUAGCGGGUCUGAGAGGAUGAUC
Molecule: ribosomal RNA, 264 nt
Filed under: uncultured bacterium
Lineage: Bacteria
Description: partial 16S ribosomal RNA
Rfam family: Bacterial small subunit ribosomal RNA
Source: RNAcentral